AUUGAACGCUGGCGGCAUGCUUUACACAUGCAAGUCGAACGGCAGCGCGGGCUUCGGCCUGGCGGCGAGUGGCGAACGGGUGAGUAAUGCAUCGGAACGUGCCCGGUAGUGGGGGAUAGCCCGGCGAAAGCCGGAUUAAUACCGCAUACGACCUGAGGGUGAAAGCGGGGGACCGAAAGGCCUCGCGCUAUUGGAGCGGCCGAUGUCGGAUUAGCUAGUUGGUGGGGUAAAGGCUUACCAAGGCGACGAUCCGUAGCUGGUCUGAGAGGACGACCAGCCACACUGGGACUGAGACACGGCCCAGGCUCCUACGGGAGGCAGCAGUGGGGAAUUUUGGACAAUGGGGGCAACCCUGAUCCAGCCAUGCCGCGUGCGGGAAGAAGGCCUUCGGGUUGUAAACCGCUUUUGUUCGGGAAGAAAUCCUCUGGGCUAAUACCCCGGGGGGAUGACGGUACCGGAAGAAUAAGCACCGGCUAACUACGUG
This 484-nucleotide ribosomal RNA is filed under the name uncultured bacterium. RNAcentral describes it as "partial 16S ribosomal RNA". It matches the Rfam family "Bacterial small subunit ribosomal RNA", at positions 28 to 507 of the family's 1533-position model. The record is from RNAcentral.